AUAUUUUCAAAAGCGAUAGGUGCUAAUGGCAAGAGGAUAUUUCUGCCUUAGCUUAAAAGGGAAGCUCGGUGAAAAUCCGACGCGGUCGCGCCACUGUAAUGGGGAGAAUUCUAUAAAGACCCACUGUUUUUUAAAUGAAAAAUGGGAAGGGAAUAGAAUACAAUGAACCUGAGUCAGGAGACCUGCCUAUCGUAUGCACUUUAU
Molecule: non-coding RNA, 204 nt
Filed under: Bacillus sp. (in: firmicutes)
Lineage: Bacteria; Bacillati; Bacillota; Bacilli; Caryophanales; Bacillaceae
Source: RNAcentral